RNAcentral lists this long non-coding RNA (437 nucleotides) under Mus musculus (house mouse). RNAcentral describes it as "predicted gene 28073". Lineage: Eukaryota; Metazoa; Chordata; Mammalia; Rodentia; Muridae. The record is from RNAcentral.
GGCCUUGCUCUUAUGUCAUUUGACUAAAGGUUUCAUAGACCAAAGAUAACCAUCCAACUUGUUGGAAUACUGAAACAAUUGCUGCCUGCUGUCCACACACCACAUAAAAUAUGUGGAUUUCGUAAAUUCUGCAAAAAAGGUUUGGAAGCUGAUCAAUCAAUACUGGAACUCCCUCUUCUCCAGAAGAGACAUCCUGGCCUCCAUGCAGAGGAAUGUGUGGAUGGACAUAUAUUUAAGGAAGACACUAAACCAGAAACUACUACAUUACACCCUCUUAGAAGACUUCUAAGAUUGUUGUCAUGCCUACCACAGACAUUCAGAUGAUGUGUAUUGUUGAUUGUGAUUUCAUGUUUGGACCUGAUGAAGGAGUUUGAAGUCUCCAGAGCAGCAAAGAGAGUGGGGAGUAGAACUCAUCAUCUUUAGGUCACUCAUCAUCG